This 235-nucleotide ribosomal RNA is filed under the name uncultured bacterium. RNAcentral's name for it is "partial 16S ribosomal RNA". It matches the Rfam family "Bacterial small subunit ribosomal RNA", at positions 96 to 334 of the family's 1533-position model. The record is from RNAcentral.
UGGCGGACGGGUGAGUAAUGUCUGGGAAACUGCCCGAUAGAGGGGGAUAACUACUGGAAACGGUAGCUAAUACCGCAUAACGUCGCAAGACCAAAGAGGGGGACCUUCGGGCCUCUUGCCAUCGGAUGUGCCCAGAUGGGAUUAGCUAGUAGGUGGGGUAACGGCUCACCUAGGCGACGAUCCCUAGCUGGUCUGAGAGGAUGACCAGCCACACUGGAACUGAGACACGGUCCAG